CCUACGGGAGGCAGCAGUGAGGAAUAUUGGUCAAUGGACGCGAGCCUGAACCAGCCAAGUAGCGUGCAGGAUGACUGCCCUACGGGUUGUAAACUUCUUUUAUAAAGGAAUAAAGUGAGGCACGUGUGCCUUUUUGUAUGUACUUUAUGAAUAAGGAUCGGCUAACUCCGUGCCAGCAGCCGCGGUAAUACGGAGGAUCCGAGCGUUAUCCGGAUUUAUUGGGUUUAAAGGGAGCGUAGGUGGGUUGUUAAGUCAGUUGUGAAAGCUUGCGGCUCAACCGUGAAAUUGCAGUUGAUACUGGCAGGCUUGAGUGCAGUUGAGGUAGGCGGAAUUCGUGGUGUAGCGGUGAAAUGCUUAGAUAUCACGAAGAACUCCGAUUGCGAAGGCAGCUUACUAAGCUGCCACUGACAUUGAGGCUCGAAAGUGUGGGUAUCAAACAGGAUUAGAUACCCGAGUAGUC
This 460-nucleotide ribosomal RNA is filed under the name uncultured bacterium. Its description in RNAcentral is "partial 16S ribosomal RNA". It matches the Rfam family "Bacterial small subunit ribosomal RNA", at positions 338 to 795 of the family's 1533-position model. The record is from RNAcentral.